This 294-nucleotide long non-coding RNA is filed under the name Prunus dulcis (almond). RNAcentral describes it as "sRNA ncRNA". The record is from RNAcentral. Lineage: Eukaryota; Viridiplantae; Streptophyta; Magnoliopsida; Rosales; Rosaceae.
AUGGGUUUCCAUCGUCCUAGUAAGCAGCUUCUUCAGCAGUCCUUUUCAAAUACGAAGCGAAGAGCUUCGCCUAAUUUAUCAGAUGUCCCUAAAGGUUAUUUAGCAGUAUAUGUUGGAGACGGCGAAUGGCAGCAGGUCGUCAUUCCUAAAUCAUACCUCAACCAACCUUUAUUCCAAGAGUUACUAAGUGAGGCUGAAGACGAAUUCAGAUUUGAUCAUCCAAUGGGUGGUCUAACAAUUCCAUGCAGACAAGAUGACUUCAUGGAUCUCCUUUCUCGCUUGAAUUCAUUGUGA